CUACUCUUGACAUCCAGAGAACUUUCCAGAGAUGCUUUGGUGCCUUCGGGAACUCUGAGACAGGUGCUGUAUGGCUGUCGUCAGCUCGUGUUGUGAAAUGUUGGGUUAAGUCCCGCAACGAGCGCAACCCUUUUCCUUAUUUGCCAGCGAGUAAUGUCGGGAACUUUAAGGAUACUGCCAGUGACAAACUGGAGGAAGGCGGGGACGACGUCAAGUCAUCAUGGCCCUUACGGCCGGGGCUACACACGUGCUACAAUGGUCGGUACAAAGGGUUGCCAACCCGCGAGGGGGAGCUAAUCCCAUAAAGCCAGUCGUAGUCCGGAUCGCAGUCUGCAACUCGACUCCAUGAAGUCGGAAUCGCUAGUAAUCGCGGAUCAGAAGGCCGCGGGAAUACGUUCCC
RNAcentral lists this ribosomal RNA (400 nucleotides) under uncultured bacterium. RNAcentral's name for it is "bacterial SSU rRNA". It matches the Rfam family "Bacterial small subunit ribosomal RNA", at positions 975 to 1375 of the family's 1533-position model. The record is from RNAcentral.